UACGGGGGGGGCAAGCGUUGUUCGGAAUUACUGGGCGUAAAGGGCUCGUAGGCGGCCAACUAAGUCAUACGUGAAAUCCCUCAGCUUAACUGGGGAACUGCGUGUGAUACUGGAUGGCUUGGAUUUGGGAGAGGGAUGCGGAAUUCCAGGUGUAGCGGUGAAAUGCGUAGAUAUCUGGAGGAACACCGGUGGCGAAGGCGGCAUCCUGGGCCAGUACUGACGCUGAGGAGCGAAAGCGUGGGGAGCAAACAGG
RNAcentral lists this ribosomal RNA (253 nucleotides) under uncultured bacterium. RNAcentral's name for it is "partial 16S ribosomal RNA". It matches the Rfam family "Bacterial small subunit ribosomal RNA", at positions 524 to 776 of the family's 1533-position model. The record is from RNAcentral.